RNAcentral lists this ribosomal RNA (497 nucleotides) under uncultured bacterium. RNAcentral describes it as "partial 16S ribosomal RNA". It matches the Rfam family "Bacterial small subunit ribosomal RNA", at positions 28 to 507 of the family's 1533-position model. The record is from RNAcentral.
GAUGAACGCUGGCGGCGUGCCUAAUACAUGCAAGUCGAGCGAACAGACGAGGAGCUUGCUCCUCUGACGUUAGCGGCGGACGGGUGAGUAACACGUGGAUAACCUACCUAUAAGACUGGGAUAACUUCGGGAAACCGGAGCUAAUACCGGAUAACAUGUUGAACCGCAUGGUUCAACAGUGAAAGACGGUCUUGCUGUCACUUAUAGAUGGAUCCGCGCCGCAUUAGCUAGUUGGUAAGGUAACGGCUUACCAAGGCAACGAUGCGUAGCCGACCUGAGAGGGUGAGAGGCAACAGUGGAAAUGCGCCACGAAGGGGACAACGACGGAGGGCACAAGUAGGGGUGCUUCAAGAAUGUGUGAAAGUAUUACAAAGCUAUGUCACGUGAAUAAAAAAGGUAUACGUAUCUUAACACGUUGUUAUGAGAGAAAAACAAAACUCUAAGUAAAACUGCGCGCCUGCAGGGGAGCUAAUCAGAAGACCGCGGCUAAUUACAUA